GAUGAACGCUGGCGGCGUGCUUAACACAUGCAAGUCGAACGGAAAGGCCCGGCUUUUGUGGCGUGCUCGAGUGGCGAACGGGUGAGUAACACGCGAGUAACCUGUCCCUGUCUUUGGGAUAACUUCAGGAAACUGGGGCUAAUAUCGGAUAGGAGCUCUUGCUGCAUGGUGGGGGUUGGAAAGUUUCGGCGGUUGGGGAUGGACUGGCGGCUUAUCAGCUUGUUGGUGGGGUAGUGGCUUACCAAGGCUUUGACGGGUAGCCGGCCUGAGAGGGUGACCGGCCACAUUGGGACUGAGGUACGGCCCAGACUCCUACGGGAGGCAGCAGUGGGGAAUAUUGCACAGUGGGCGGAAGCCUGAUGCAGCAACGCCGCGUGCGGGAUAACGGCCUUCGGGUUGUAAACCGCUUUCGCCUGUGACGAGGCGUGAGUGACGGUAAUGGGUAAAGAAGCACCGGCUAACUACGUG
RNAcentral lists this ribosomal RNA (468 nucleotides) under uncultured bacterium. RNAcentral describes it as "partial 16S ribosomal RNA". It matches the Rfam family "Bacterial small subunit ribosomal RNA", at positions 28 to 507 of the family's 1533-position model. The record is from RNAcentral.